GGUUGGUCUGAGUGCAGUGCUAUUUACAACUAAUUGAUCACAACCAGUUACAAAUUCCUUUGUUCCUUCUCCACUCCCACUGCUUCACCUGACCAGCCUAUA
This 102-nucleotide Y RNA is filed under the name Microcebus murinus (gray mouse lemur). RNAcentral's name for it is "Y RNA (ENSMICG00000044833.1)". It matches the Rfam family "Y RNA". Rfam says of the family: Y RNAs are components of the Ro ribonucleoprotein particle (Ro RNP), in association with Ro60 and La proteins. The record is from Rfam by way of RNAcentral. Lineage: Eukaryota; Metazoa; Chordata; Mammalia; Primates; Cheirogaleidae.